UAUGAACUCUGCUUUUGUUGGUGGAUCAGAUUAGUGUAAGAGAAAAUAGUGGGAGUGAUCAUCCAUAGACCAUAAUGAGGCCAAAGAUUUAUCUUUUUGGGGACUCCAUCACCGAGAUGUCCUUCGAGGUCGAGGAUGGUGGCUGGGGCGUUUCCCUCGCCGAUCACUUCCGUCGAACGGCCGAUGUGGUGUUGAGAGGGUUCAGCGGUUACAACACCAGGUGGGCUUUGAGGAUAAUAGACAAGGCGUUCCCGGCGGAGCAGGGCGGAGGUGCGCCGCUGGCGGUUACGGUGUUCUUCGGAGCAAACGAUGCCUGUGUUCCCGAUAGAUGUUCUUCCUUCCAGCACGUGCCUGUCGAUGAGUAUAAGCAGAAUCUGUGUUCUAUUGUCUCCUUCUUCAAGAAACAAUGGCCAACAGUGCAUGUCAUCCUCAUUACACCGCCUCCAAUUUAUGAACCAGCACGCCUUCUAUAUCCAUUUACUGAAAACAAAUCGGGCCUUCCAGAAAGGACAUAUGAAGCUGCUGGAACCUAUGCCAAAGCGUGUCUUGCUGUUGCAGCAGAACUUGGAAUUCCAUCUGUGGAUCUAUGGAUAAAAGUUCAGGAAGUUCCAGACUGGCAAACUGCUUGUCUGAGUGAUGGUUUGCACCUCAGUCGUGCUGGGAAUGCUAUCGUGUUUAAAGAGGUGGUUGAUGUGCUGAAGAAACUAGGCUCCAGUGUGGAAACUCUAAUGGUUGAUUUCCCACUCAUAGAUGACAUUGAUCCAAAUGAUCCCCUCAAAUCCUUUGAAAACUUGAAGAACUAAAUCGGCAUAUGCUGUUCUUGAUUCUGAUCCUUAAAUCGGAUCGAUGAUGUUUUCUUUAGUGAUGGCAUUCUGGGCAAGCUAGCUGAAGAUUGCUAAUGAUGUUCGGGAUCAGGUCCCUCAGGUGCCAAUCUGUCUUUACCCCCUCCCACCUUGUUAUUGUUUCUGAUUGUUUUCGGCAAAUUGGAGCCUAAAUCUCGUAAAACUUGCCUGCUAUUCACCCUUUUCUGCAUAUUCACUAAUCCACGAUAUCUUGUUGCA
Ipomoea nil (Japanese morning glory) is the source of this 1061-nucleotide RNA transcript. It is a transcript of the gene named GDSL esterase/lipase At5g45920, with no coding region annotated. The transcript has 7 exons. Lineage: Eukaryota; Viridiplantae; Streptophyta; Magnoliopsida; Solanales; Convolvulaceae. The record is from RefSeq and is a predicted model, not a curated record.